Molecule: non-coding RNA, 4690 nt
Organism: Pelobates cultripes (western spadefoot toad)
Lineage: Eukaryota; Metazoa; Chordata; Amphibia; Anura; Pelobatidae
Source: the annotation of a GenBank genome assembly
AUUUUUUGUCUUUAUUUUACUAAGCAUUUUUACUGUUGACAAAGAGACCACCUUGCUAAUAUUGGUUCCUGCUCGUACUUGCACCAGAAACUACAAUAUGGAAAUGUUGAUCUUAAUAUUGUUUUGUUUUUUCUUCUUCCAGGAAGUGUUUCUUGUUCUGAUCGCCAUCCUGUUGGCUGUUUCGUCGGUCUAUGCUUUCUUCUACCUGAAAUUCAACUUAUUCGAGAACCCUGCGGAAGAAUCAAGUGAUUAGACUCCUGCAAGUCACCAGACCAUGCAUUCAGCGAGAAAGAGGACUCUAGACUGCUGUGCAAGAAAUAAUUAUGUUGGUAAAUGCUAGACAUGUUUACUGCAUUGGUUCUCAAACAAGUCCUCAAUAUCCACCACUGAUCGAGAUUUUAUAAAAUAUUUUCCUCUCUUAAUUCACUUUUCAUAUACCUAAUGUCUGGACCAAUAGUCCUUGAUGGCUUGAGAACCACUGUAAUACAGGACCAACAUUGGAUAAUGUUAAUGCUGCAUGCCAAUCAAUAAAUACAUUCCAAAUCAGACAUGUAUCGAAUUGUCCUAACAAAUGUAACAUGAUAAGGGUUUUUCUUAUAUAAAACGAUAUUCACCAAAAUUCCUUAUGGUGAGAAGAAUGUUGUUUUUUGUUUUUCUUUUUGAAAUUCUGUUUUUUCUUUGGGUUAAGUGUUUUGUAACCUCUACACAAAAAUAAAAAGAUUCUUUUUUUUUUCUCUUAUUUUGCUGUAAUUUUCAGCCUAUUUCUAUGAUUUCUUUGAGAAAAACCAAUGCAAUAUGUGGGACCUGAUUUUUAUAUUGAACAUGUAAAGGGUUAAAAAAUUAAAUGAAACAUAAUGCAUUUUUGGGGUAAUCUUAAUUUUUUCCAUUGCUUAAUUUUAAAACACAAUAUACAUUGUAAUAUUUCCCUGUACAGCUAACCAAGCUGGUAAUAGCACACACGCUGGCAUUUAUUCACCAAGUUGACUUUGUAUCCCAGGAUGGGUUUGUGUUAAUACUAUAUACAGCAUAAUAUCUGGACUAGUGUCUUUUGUGUAUAAAGUCAUGAACAUUCCACAUAGAAUACAGUACUCAAUCAUUUUUAAAUUUCUAAUAAAAUAACGAAAUUUACUUUAGCACCAGAAAACAAUAUUCUAAAAAACAAAACAAAAAAACUGGGCAUAUAUAAAUUACAUAUCUCAGUAUAAAUAUACAAUGACUGGAGUUUUAAACCUUACUUUCUGUUCAGGUUUCAGAGACCAAGUAUAUUUAUUUUGUCACAAAUUUAACUACCACCAUAUAAUGUAACUGCUUCUUUUACAGAAAUACAAAAAAAUUUCACAACUGCAGGGAUUUUUAUAAAAUAAACAGUUUUCAUUGUGCCACUUUGUGAUAUGUGAAUGUACAGUGUCUAUUAAGUUUCAGUGCUUUCAUUUUAUGAUUAUGCUUUUUAUUGAAUAAACCCGACUAUAAUUAAAAACUCAUUAUUUCAUUGUAUAUGUGUACUUAAAGUGCCCCUUUAAGUUUUAAUGCCACUGAUGGCUGGCAGGUGACACCCUAAGCCAAUCAGUAGUACAGCGCUAUGGAAUCUGAUGGCGCUAUAUAAAUAAUAAAAUAAUAAUCAGUAGUUUCCCAUUCAAGCACUUAAGAAACAUACAUACUUUUCUCAAACCGCGUUUAUAUUCUUUAUUUUUUCGUGCCUUGAAUUACAAACUGGUCUGCGGUGCUACGACAGCAGAGCAAACUGACAUAAUCAAAAACAAGUAUUCAAUGUCAUGGCAUACAAGAAAAAUGCACAUUUUUUAGAUAUAGUAGUCAUGCUUAUAUCGUGUGUAUAUGUGGGUGAGCACAUCUAGUUGUUCUUUUAGGUGUAGCGUAGCGCUGUGGAGGCGGGGAGCCCCUCCGACUCUGGGAUUGCUGGAGGGCCGGUGCUCUGUUUCUGCAUGCUUGAGUUCUUGCGGGGUCCCGAUGUGCGCUGCUUUUUGCCCGUGUAGUACUUUAUUUGCCUUCUGUGGUCUGCAGCAUGUGUGGCUGAUGCUUGCGGGGUGGCUUGUGGCUAUGUAGGGCUGCAGCCCAGUGUUUCGGCUGGUGCUUUGUUUUCCUCUACCUACGUGGGUAGCAUACUGGGGUCGCACCCCGUGUGGCUCCCGCCCCAGGUGGACCAACUGUGUGAUACUUUUGAGCUUCGUGGAGUGAUUUGCCCAGUUGGGGCUUCACCAUCUGCAUCCUGGUCUGGCGCCAGUUAGGGUGUGAAACUCUGUCUGGUUGGCAUACUGUGGGUGCUUUUUCUGUGGUGCUGGCCAUUGGUGGCUUUAGAGGCUGGUGCCUGUCCUCCAAACUUGCCCAGAAGUGCUUGCAUAUGGCAUCAAAUUUUGUCUGAAAGGCAGUUGCCCAGUCGCUGGGGGUCAGGGGAAAUCCGCUAUAUGUGUUUCAGGUAGAGAGAGAUGAUGAGGUUUGCUUCUUCUCAGCUCCCCGGUCAGGCCCCGCCCCCUCUCUCAAACCAUGUUUAAAUGGGGAGCCACUGGUUUAGAGCAGGGAUAGGCAACGUUCGGCACUCCGGAUGUUGUGGACUACGUCUCCCUGGAUGCUUUGCCAGCAUUAUAACUGUAAGAGCAUUAUGGGAGAUGAAGUCUAUAACAUCUAGAGUGCUGAAGGUUGAUUACUCCUGGCUUUGAGUUUAUGCUGACCGCUCUAAUCCAAUAAGUGGCGUCCCUACCUGCAGCAGUCCAAGGCUUCUAUUUUGAAGAUUUUAAUAAAGUGGUUGUUGGAUAGUGCAGAGCUCAACUGCCUUGGCAAGAAAACUUUGGAGUUAAACCCUUUGUAAAUAGUAUCAAAACCUAAAGAGCCAGCACCAGGGACCUCCUGGUACAUAGUUACAUAGCUGAAAAGAGACUUGCAUCCAUCAAGUUCAGCCUUCCUCACAUAUGUUUUUGCUGUUGAUCCAAAAGAAGGCAAAAAACCCAGUCUGAAGCGCUUCCAAUUUUGCCACAAACUAGGAAAAAAUUCCUUCUUGACCCCAAAAUAGCAGUCAGGUGUCUCCUUAUUUCAAGCAGGUAUUACCCCACUAAUUAGAAAUGAUAUCCCUGUAUGUCCUGUUUUUAGUUUGAUUAAGUUAUGGUGCACAGAGGUUUUUUGUAUUUGUCUGUCUGUGUAUACACUAAUUGUGCAGCGCGGCAGAAUUUGUUGGCAAUUUAUAAAUACCAGUAAUAAAUAAAUACAUAGAAAUCGAAUUUCAAAAUUUGCAGGCUUUAUAUAUGCUUUCUCUAAACCAGUUACUGUUUCAUGAAUUGAUUUCCCAACUUUUAGCGAAUAACAAUGUAAUCUCCCUAAAACAUUUCUACACUAGCAUUGUAUUUAUCUUUUUAGGCUAACAGGAAGUAAAGGCUCAAUAAAAUGUACCUACAGCCCAAAGGGAACUUUUUAGCAAUGACAAAUUAUUCCCUGGCAUGCAAAAAAGCCUGCUAGAAUAAGUAUUGUACAAUUUCCGUAUAAAAAUAGGAAAUCUACUUGAGCCUAAAUUUACUUGCUAAAUAUGUUCUUUUGAUUGAGGCGAUAAUUAUAAUGCACUUUACUGCAAUGUGGAAAUUAUGAGAUCAGAACUACUUAGAGUGGUACAUAAUGGAUUUCCAAUGCUUCGAAAAACUGUUGGUAACUGAGCUAAUAUGUAUAAUGUAUGUAUAUUAUGUAUAAUAUUUUUACCAGAGUACAACAUGGAAUAUGACCAUUUUAAAAUACAGAAUACUAAUGAAAUCAAUAAAUGGAAUAUAAAAGUUAGAAUACACAACUCAAAUGCACUGCGUUGAAGUAAAGUACUAGCCUUAACAUGUACUUAAUUAUUUUUGUUAAUGUGUAAAUUUUAGAGUAAAGCAGUUUAGUCUAAUGUUAUAGUCUGCCUUUAACUGUAAGUACUUUACCCACUUCAGCUUGCUAAAGUGGUUAUAGUGCAGAUCCAUGCACUGUAAGAGAGAUAAAAAAGGUCUCCUGUGUCUCCUCAGUCUCAAAGACCGAAAGGAGUUUUUGCAAGGAUCUGCACCCAUCAGAGGUGCAGACCCUAAGCUCUGUUGACAGGACCAUUCAGGAGCAGAACAUAGACUCCAUUGGACCACCAGGGGAAGGAACCAUAAUCACAGCCACUGUUGGAUCACCAGGGAGUUAAAUCAUGAUCACAGCAUCUACCAGGGAAUCGGGGACCCUACUUUGUUUUAUGACAUAGUUUCCAUUUUACUGAACUUCCAAUUCACAGGGUGAUUCACCAAAUUGAUAAUUUAAAGUCAAUUCAAACUGAAUUCUAAAGUUAAGGCAAAAAUAGCUGAACUGGGAAAAUCCUCUAUAUUGGCCCCAAUUCCGGUUUAGCUACUUUGGUCUUAAAUUUUAAAUUUCGUUCUAUAAGGGAAGUAUCUAAAUAACAGAGGUAUCUCAGCUAGACAGACUCGUUUAGAGCAGUGUUCUCCAAACCAGUCAUCGUGAACCACCAACACUCCAGGUUUUGUCAGUAUCUCAGUUGGAAUUAAACAGGGAAAUGCAUAAAUCCUGGAUUGUUGGUGGUCCAUGAGGACUGGGCUGGGGAAAACUGGUUUAGAGCAUUAAAAAUUAUUGCAUGCCAAUGUAUGAAACAAAAGGAAAAAAAGCUGAUAUUUGUUGACUUUGUCCCAUGUGACAUAAACAUAUGGCGUAAAUGCAAAUUAUAAUUGAG